GAUGAACGCUGGCGGCGUGCCUAAUACAUGCAAGUCGAGCGAACAGACGAGGAGCUUGCUCCUCUGACGUUAGCGGCGGACGGGUGAGUAACACGUGGAUAACCUACCUAUAAGACUGGGAUAACUUCGGGAAACCGGAGCUAAUACCGGAUAAUAUAUUGAACCGCAUGGUUCAAUAGUGAAAGACGGUUUUGCUGUCACUCAUAGAUGGAUCCGCGCCGCAUUAGCUAGUUGGUAAGGUAACGGCUUACCAAGGCAACGAUGCGUAGCCGACCUGAGAGGGUGAUCGGCCACACUGGAACUGAGACACGGUCCAGACUCCUACGGGAGGCAGCAGUAGGGAAUCCUCCGCAAUGGGCGAAAGCUUGACGGAGCAACGCCGCGUGAGUGAUGAAGGUCUUCGGAUCGUAAAACUCUGUUAUUAGGGAAGAACAAAUGUGUAAGUAACUAUGCACGUCUUGACGGUACCUAAUCAGAAAGCCACGGCUAACUACGUG
Molecule: ribosomal RNA, 497 nt
Filed under: uncultured bacterium
Lineage: Bacteria
Description: partial 16S ribosomal RNA
Rfam family: Bacterial small subunit ribosomal RNA
Source: RNAcentral